GGGGGCGUGGCGGAAUGGUAGACGCAGGGGACUCAAAAUCCCCCGGCCGCAAGGCUAUGCCGGUUCGAGUCCGGCCGCCCCUACCA
Molecule: transfer RNA, 86 nt
Filed under: Belnapia mucosa
Lineage: Bacteria; Pseudomonadati; Pseudomonadota; Alphaproteobacteria; Acetobacterales; Roseomonadaceae
Description: tRNA-Leu
Rfam family: tRNA
About the family: Transfer RNA (tRNA) molecules are approximately 80 nucleotides in length. Their secondary structure includes four short double-helical elements and three loops (D, anti-codon, and T loops). Further hydrogen bonds mediate the characteristic L-shaped molecular structure. tRNAs have two regions of fundamental functional importance: the anti-codon, which is responsible for specific mRNA codon recognition, and the 3' end, to which the tRNAs corresponding amino acid is attached (by aminoacyl-tRNA synthetases). tRNAs cope with the degeneracy of the genetic code in two manners: having more than one tRNA (with a specific anti-codon) for a particular amino acid; and 'wobble' base-pairing, i.e. permitting non-standard base-pairing at the 3rd anti-codon position.
Source: RNAcentral